Molecule: non-coding RNA, 113 nt
Organism: Acanthosepion pharaonis
Lineage: Eukaryota; Metazoa; Mollusca; Cephalopoda; Sepiida; Sepiidae
Source: the annotation of a GenBank genome assembly
UUACAGCCAUAUCAUGUUGAAACAACAGUUCUUAUCUGAUCACUGAAGUUAAGCAAUGUCAAGUCUGGUCAGUACCUAGAUGAGUGACCACAUGGAAAUGUCAGGGGCUGUAA